Lycium barbarum (goji berry) is the source of this 1249-nucleotide long non-coding RNA. RefSeq lists it as uncharacterized. The record is from RefSeq and is a predicted model, not a curated record. NCBI's taxonomy places the organism in Eukaryota, Viridiplantae, Streptophyta, Magnoliopsida, Solanales, Solanaceae. The transcript has 2 exons.
UGAAUAUACUCAACACAUCACUUAAAUCUUUCAACUUGACAUCUUUCAGUUUCAACCCCAACUCAGCACUAGUUUUUUUUUAUUAUCGUCUCGAUCUUCGUGCUUCUCAAUAAUAUGGAACUUAUAGUCAUUCACUAAAUUAUCCAUUUCAACCAUAGCAAAAUACUGCUUCUUCCUAACAUCUUUAAAUUCUUCUGCACUGUGUCACGGUCAGCUACCACAGUUAUCAAAAAGAAAAAUAUGCAUAUAAAGGAAACGGAAAAGGGUCAGAUUUGUCCAUGUACUUAAAAAAAAUUAUAUUUACCCUUCGUUAUACUUUUCAACAUAUUUGUCCUUGCAUACCAUAUUUACCCCUCAGCAAACACUAAAUUGCAGAUUGAGGAAAUGAACAAGAAACUUAAAGAUUUGGAGUCGCUGAAUCAAGCUCUUCUUAUAAAGGAAAGAUUUUGAAAUGACGAGGUGCAGGACACACGGUGUUUGCUAAUCGAUGACCACACAAGAAGAUAAAAGAGCGAGAAACAAGAAAAAAUGGAAGAAACCUCACCUGAUGAGAUGCACAAUUAAAGCUUCACCGCGCAACUCAAAGCACAGCAAGGGCAAUACUUCUGUCAAAUUUGCGCUCUCAGCUCCCAGGUGUGUUACAUCGCACUUUCCUAAUAGUAAAUAUUUAAUUGAGGACAGUUUUAGAAAUUCAUCGUCAUACCCCUUUGACCUAUAUAAUCCCCAAAAAAGGCGGGACUGACUGAGGAGGUGCCAAAUAUCUAAUGACAAUGUACUUCAAUGAAAUCCUACCAAACCAUCCAGGUGCUAGUUUCGUGAAGGUUUCUUUCAUCCUAAUAUCUAUCCAUUAGAAACAAUAUGUAUGCCUAUCCUCGAUGAGGAAAGGGAUUGGAACUCUGACGUUAGCAUUAAACAAUUUUGGCGGGUAUCCAAGAAUUGCUUGAUUGGCCAAACUCCGACGAUCCAGCACAAAGUUCAUGUUACGAGCUAUACAUCAAUGAUCAUAAUGCAUGCAAGGGCCGAGUGAGACAGCAGGCCCAUAAUUAUACAUAUAAUUAGCUGGAGUAUUGGUUGAGUGAGUUCGUAUUGACCUUAUUCCGGAGAUUGUUGUGAGCUGCUGGUUGUUCCAUAGCACCCUCCUUCUUCUAUCAUUUUUAGUAUUAUGUUUUUUCUUUAGUAUUCGGACAAUGUAUUCGCAAUUUCAGACUUGUAUUCCUAUUAUUAGAGGCUCUUGUAUUUAUGACACCAA